GAUGAACGCUGGCGGCGUGCCUAAUACAUGCAAGUCGAACGCAUUGUGGUUGAAAUGAUAUGAAGAACUUGUUCAGAUUUGAUUUUAAACAUUGCAAUGAGUGGCGAACGGGUGAGUAACACGUGGGAAACCUACCUCUUAGCAGGGGAUAACAUUUGGAAACAAAUGCUAAUACCGUAUAAUAAUUAAAACCGCAUGGUUUUAGUUUAAAAGAUGGUCUUGCUAUCACUAAGAGAUGGUCCCGCGGUGUAUUAGUUAGUUGGUGAGGUAAUGGCUCACCAAGACAAUGAUACAUAGCCGAGUUGAGAGACUGACCGGCCACAAUGGGACUGAGACACGGCCCAUACUCCUACGGGAGGCAGCAGUAGGGAAUCUUCCACAAUGGACGAAAGUCUGAUGGAGCAACGCCGCGUGUGUGAUGAAGGGUUUCGGCUCGUAAAACACUGUUGUAAGAGAAGAAUGACAUUGAGAGUAACUGUUCAAUGUGUGACGGUAUCUUA
RNAcentral lists this ribosomal RNA (500 nucleotides) under uncultured bacterium. RNAcentral describes it as "bacterial SSU rRNA". It matches the Rfam family "Bacterial small subunit ribosomal RNA", at positions 28 to 482 of the family's 1533-position model. The record is from RNAcentral.